RNAcentral lists this ribosomal RNA (468 nucleotides) under uncultured bacterium. RNAcentral describes it as "partial 16S ribosomal RNA". It matches the Rfam family "Bacterial small subunit ribosomal RNA", at positions 28 to 507 of the family's 1533-position model. The record is from RNAcentral.
GACGAACGCUGGCGGCGUGCCUAACACAUGCAAGUCGAACGGAAAGGCGCUGCUUUUGCGGGGUGUUCGAGUGGCGAACGGGUGUGUAUCACGUGAGUAUACCGCGCUUUACAUUGGGAUAACUUCAGGAAACUGGGGAUAUUACAGGACAGGAGAUCCUGCUGCAUGGUGGGGGUUGGAAAGUUUCGGCGGUUGGGGAUGGACGCGCGGCUUAGCAGUUUGUUGGUGGGGUAGUGGCUUACCAAGGCUUCGACGGGUAGCCAGCCUGAGAGGGUGACCGGCCACAUGGGGACUGAGGUAGGGCCCAGAGGCCUACGGGGGGCAGCGGGGGAAAAUAGUGCACAAUGGGCGGAAGCCGGAUACAACGACGCCGGGUGCGGAAGGACGGCCGUCGGGUUAUAAACCGCUUUAGCCUGUGACGUUGCGUGUGUGACGGUAAUGGGUAAAGAAGCACCGGCUAACUACGUG